Molecule: transfer RNA, 91 nt
Filed under: Labrenzia sp. EL_13
Lineage: Bacteria; Pseudomonadati; Pseudomonadota; Alphaproteobacteria; Hyphomicrobiales; Stappiaceae
Also listed under: 3 other names
Description: tRNA-Ser
Source: RNAcentral
CGCAAUUUUCAACCGGUCAGGGCGAAUGCCUGCAGAACUACAUCGACUAUGAAUCGCCAGGUUGCGGGUUCGAAUCCCGCCGCUGCAACCA